UACGUAGGGUGCAAGCGUUGUUCGGAAUUACUGGGCGUAAAGGGUUUGUAGGUGGCUUGCUAAGUCAGACGUGAAAUCCCUCAGCUUAACUGGGGAACUGCGUCUGAUACUGGCGAGCUUGAGUGCAGGAGAGGAACGCGGAAUUCCAGGUGUAGCGGUGAAAUGCGUAGAUAUCUGGAGGAACACCGGUGGCGAAGGCGGCGUUCUGGACUGCAACUGACACUGAAAAACGAAAGCCAGGGGAGCAAACGGG
This 253-nucleotide ribosomal RNA is filed under the name uncultured bacterium. RNAcentral's name for it is "partial 16S ribosomal RNA". It matches the Rfam family "Bacterial small subunit ribosomal RNA", at positions 524 to 776 of the family's 1533-position model. The record is from RNAcentral.